ACGUGACGCAAGGUAAAACGAAGUUUCCCUUCUUCUUCGUCUUUUUCUUCUAAUCUCAUCGACGUCUCGUCUUCACUCGGAUACGUCGCUGUCUUAAGAGAGAUCUAUCGUGCUAGUUAAAAAGAUUUUCUUCGUCCAUACAGGAAUUUAGAAACAACGGAUGUGAUAUGGUUGAUUAAAAACUUGCUAAACUUUUGUGAAGAGAAAAAAAAACAAAGAAAGAAAAAGAACGUGCAAGCACUUAAAUUAUAAAUGUAUGUCUUGCACGAAGGAACGAUUUGAUUAACUCAAGGACAUAUGCAUGAGACCAGAACUAAGAACACCGGAGUAGUAACCCAUGCCAAUUUUAAAGCAAGAAACGAUGUCACCGUAAUUGGUAGGUUUAAACUUCGAGCAUGGUCACCCGAUGAGUGGAAGGAGGAAGUCUCGCAAAAAGAUCGAAACUCAUUAUCUCGGUUUUGCUUCGACCAACGCUUACGGGGUAUCCCGUACGUAUGAGCCUGAUCCAAUUUAGGUUAUGGCCGAUCUUGAGCACGCGAAGUGGAAAAACACGAAGGGUAGAGUAAUUAAGUCGACAAGCGCAUUUCGAUGCCUGUUUAUAUGGGUCAGUCGGUAGAGAAUCCAACCGAAUGAAAUUUCCUUUUGAUUAUCCUUAACCAUCGCACGAAUCUCUUUACAAAUUCCAUGUAUUUAUCGAGCGUUUAUUUUACGAUUUAUAAUUCAAAUUUAAAUUAUUGACGAAUAACUAAUGAUUAAGAUUGAUUCUAUAUCUAUAUUGAAAUCGUUAAGUCGAAUGAAAGUUUUAAAUUGCAAUUUGCGAAUUCUACCUAUUCAAUAUUUUCUAGCCUUCCCUCGUCCUCUUGAUUUUGAGGUUCUUUGUCUUCGGCGUAAAAAAUAUAGAAACGUCGUAAACUUUCAGAAAUUUUAUUUCUACCUUCGCGCACGAAUCUUUUGACGCAUAUAAUGUAACCUGUACCUACGUGAAAUUUUAAACGAACACGAAUAUUCUGUGAGGCGUCGUAAGAUACGAAAGACGAGGGCUUUACAAGAGCGGAACGCAUGUACGUUUCGGAAAGAAAGAGGAGAGGUACGCCUUUACCUCGUGACGUUUUUACGUUAUAUUAUAUGGAACACCAGACGGACUGUAAAUCAUAGCAAUAACGUAUGUAACAUUGGAGAAGCGGUUCGGAGCGUAGUGCAGAAAAUUUAUGCACAGAAAGUGCAGAUCGGAAAUACAUAAUUCAAGAUGGGCAAUACUUGUAACAGGCUUAACUUGAAUUUCUCUGUAUGUAUUCGUUAUAGUCUGCAAUAACUAUCUUCUUUGUAACUUUGAAAAGUGAAAUAAUUAAAAUUAUUUAAGGUAAAAACUUUAAGUAAUUAUACUGCUUCCUGUCCUUUAAAAAUCUAAUCAUUUUUCUUUCUCAUUCGGGACACUAAUUUCUUGCGCAAGAUAACUAUCAUAGAUUUCGAAAGAUCGAAAAUUUCUAACAAUUCUCGAGAGACGAACACGCUCGUUCGCACAAUUGUACUAACUUAAUAAGAAGCACGACCGUGAUGUGGGCCGCACAAUGCUUGCUCGAUACGAUCUUCGAAUGCGGGUCCUUUCACAUUAAGACCUAGCGGUUACAUUAGACUUCCUAAACCGUAACAAUAAGACGGUCUAUUACGUGUUUGACGUAUGCAUUGAAAUCACGCAAACCUUUCGGUUUAAAGUGAUGUGUUCAAAAGGAAUCUAAUAAAAUUUGUAAAAUGUAAUUUCUAAUUUAAGAAAAACAUCGAUGUUAAAAUAUUCUUUAUAUUUCUCAAAGAGAUAAAUCAAAUGAAUUUGUAAUUAUAAAUUAAUUUCUCAA
This is a long non-coding RNA of Vespa velutina, 1850 nucleotides long. RefSeq lists it as uncharacterized. NCBI's taxonomy places the organism in Eukaryota, Metazoa, Arthropoda, Insecta, Hymenoptera, Vespidae. The record is from RefSeq and is a predicted model, not a curated record. The transcript is spliced from 3 exons.